This 2241-nucleotide long non-coding RNA is filed under the name Heterocephalus glaber (naked mole-rat). Its description in RNAcentral is "lncRNA (ENSHGLG00100036278.1)". The record is from RNAcentral. Lineage: Eukaryota; Metazoa; Chordata; Mammalia; Rodentia; Bathyergidae.
GGUGGUGCAGUUCUAGGGUCUUCCGGGUGGCCUUUCCCACCACUGUGGGAAUCUCCUGGCCCGUGGGUCAGGAGCCCAGUGUGGGAAUCUUUCAGGAAUGCAGAUGUCUUCCCCGGAAACUGCAUGUGUCUUGCCCCUAGGACUGGCCAGGUGAACAUCGAGGGCCACUGCCCCAACCUCCUGGACUCCACUGUGACUCCAGGAAGGAGCUGUCCUUCUGGCAGGGGAAGGACUCACUAGAAUUUUGGCUUCCUUACCUCAGUUUUAUCCACCAAAUUCCUUUUUCCAUUUGAAGCCUGUUUACAAGGUCCGGGGCCUAUCUCUUGGGCACCAUGUACUCCGCACUUGGGGCCUUCAUGCCACUGUGGUUCUCACAUGGCUGUCCCCCAGCACAGAAGGCUGGCACUGGGUUAUGGAUAUGUGCCCUGUCAAGGGGACAGGUUGGAGGUAGCACCAGCUCCCUGUCCAUGGUCACAAAGCUGGUCAGUGAAGAACUGGCUUGGCCUGGCUGUCUCAGGCCACUGGACAGAGACCAGGCACAGUGUCCUGUCCCAGGGCUCCAGGGGAAGGUGGGGGCACCUUGGGGAGGGAAGCUGGGUGCUUGCACAGGCACAGACACACCCACCCCCUGCGCCAUGCACCUGUGCACACAGGCAUCCAGCACAGAGAAGGUGCCUGGGGCCUCAGAGUGCAGGUGCCACCGAGGCUGGGGUAGCUCACAGGCUCUGGCCUCCUCAGAGGCCCCGGGAGCUGGUGAGCUGCAGUAUGCAGACCUUCGGGGACCCUCCAGGGCACAGGCAGGGGCUGCAGCAAGACCUGGACAGGAUCCUUCCAGAAGCCUCUGAACUUUGGUCUCUAAUUCCUUCCCCUUGAACCCCUGCACCCUAGGAAGGAGGUUUUGUCAGCAUUUCCCACUUUUAGGUGAAGAGGGUGACCUUGGCGAUCCUACCUGAAACUGGAUCCCAGGUUCACCUGGGGUCACAGAAAUCAGGAUGGGGGCAGAGCCAGGGCCAGCGCCAUGUGAGUUAGGGAGAAGUGGACUCAAGGGCGAGAGGGAGCCCUGGGCCAGCUGCCUGGACCACCGAGGGGCUGCCAGAGUUCAGGCCCUGGGAGGCAGUGUGGGUGCUGUGGGGACCAUUCAGAUUCCGGAGCAGGCGGGCAGCGGCUGGCCGGGAGAGAGCUCGAGGCACCCUGGCAGGGGGAGACAGCUGCUCAGGCCACCCUGUCCCUGAGCCUCGCCUGUGUGCACUCAUGCACAGGCAUGUGGACAUGUGGGUGUGGGCCUGCACUGGGCACAGGCAUGUGGCACAUGUGAGCACGUACAAGGGCCAUGUGGACACACAGGAACAAGGCCAGACACGCAGGACACGUGCACACACACAGGCAUGACUGUGCAUCUGCACACCCUCACACAGGCGCACACAGGUACGCACAGAACACAGUCACCCGUGAGCAGCCUCGUCCGCACACACUGGCACACAGGGUUGAAGUCAGUCACUCUUAAUGCUCUGUGGCAGCUAGUAGCCUGGCUUGGUCACCACCCUGUCCUGGGCCCGGUGUCCUGCUGGAGGUCACCUGAAGGCGUAUGGGCCACAGAGAGGGUCCCUGAGGUGGCUGUACCCACCCCACCCCUGUGCCUAGGUGGCUCCCGGACUCCUGGCUGAGGCAGAUUUGUACCUGGUGGGUGCCCAUCCUGGCCAGGCCGGGCGUCUCUGAGAGUAACCAUCCCAGGACCACCCCAAGGCCUCACCGCAGGUUCUGGGCUUCCUGUACAUAUAGCCCAGGUCUUCUGACAGGCACCUGGCUGUUCCGGACAGCUCUCUCUGGACAGUCCCGUGUGGCCUGGUCCCUGCAAGGCCGCUGUCCCCAGAGCUGAUGCAUGGUUGCCCUCAUGGUCCUGGUCCUGCUCUCUGAGCCUCAGUGGUUCCUUCAGGGGGAAGCUGGGGGCUCGGGCUGCCCCCAGGAGCCCAGUGAGGGGUAAGUGUAGAGUGUCUGGGGCUCGGCCGUGCACAGCACUGGCUAGGAUCUCCGCCUUUCUCCCGGAUCCUGCCCCGCCUGCAUCUUCUAGGUGUGGAAAGCCCUCUGGGCAGUACCCAGCACCCCCAGGAAGCUGCUCACAGUGAGAUUCCUGUGCCCAGCUGGGGUCCCAGAGUGGGCAGCUGCCCCCAGAGUUCUCUGGAAAAAAGAUCUGCCCCUCCACCCCGUUAUAUAAUGGGAUUAUGACACAACUUCUGAGGCAUG